This 465-nucleotide ribosomal RNA is filed under the name uncultured bacterium. Its description in RNAcentral is "partial 16S ribosomal RNA". It matches the Rfam family "Bacterial small subunit ribosomal RNA", at positions 28 to 507 of the family's 1533-position model. The record is from RNAcentral.
GACGAACGCUGGCGGCGUGCUUAACACAUGCAAGUCGAACGGAAAGGCCCCUUUGGGGGUACUCGAGUGGCGAACGGGUGAGUAACACGUGAGUAACCUGCCCUUGACUUCGGGAUAACUUCAGGAAACUGGGGCUAAUACCGGAUAGGAAUCCUUGCUGCAUGGUGGGGGUUGGAAAGCUUCGGCGGUUUUGGAUGGACUCGCGGCUUAUCAGCUUGUUGGUGGGGUAGUGGCUUACCAAGGCUUUGACGGGUAGCCGGCCUGAGAGGGCGACCAGCCACAUUGGGACUGAGAUACGGCCCAGACUCCUACGGGAGGCAGCAGUGGGGAAUAUUGAACAAUGGGCGGAAGCCUGAUGCAGCAACGCCGCGUGCGGGAUGACGGCCUUCGGGUUGUAAACCGCUUUCAGCAGGGGCGAAGCUUGUGGUGACGGUACCUGCAGAAGAAGCACCGGCUAACUACGUG